RNAcentral lists this ribosomal RNA (486 nucleotides) under uncultured bacterium. RNAcentral's name for it is "partial 16S ribosomal RNA". It matches the Rfam family "Bacterial small subunit ribosomal RNA", at positions 30 to 507 of the family's 1533-position model. The record is from RNAcentral.
AUUGAACGCUGGCGGCAUGCCUUACACAUGCAAGUCGAACGGCAGCACGGGUGCUUGCACCUGGUGGCGAGUGGCGAACGGGUGAGUAUUACAUCGGAACAUGUCCUGUAGUUGGGGAUAGCCCGGCGAAAGCCGGAUUAAUACCGCACACGAUCCACGGAUGAAAGCGGGGGACCUUCGGGCCUCGCGCUAUAGGGUUGGCCGAUGGCUGAUUAGCUAGUUGGUGGGGUAAAGGCCUACCAAGGCGACGAUCAGUAGCUGGUCUGAGAGGACGACCAGCCACACUGGGACUAAGACACGGCCCAGACUCCGACGGGAGGCAGCAGUGGGGAAUUUUGGACAAUGGGCGAAAGCCUGAUCCAGCAAUGCCGCGUGUGUGAAGAAGGCCUUCGGGUUGUAAAGCACUUUUGUCCGGAAAGAAAUCCUUGGCUCUAAUACAGGCGGAGGAUGACGGUACCGGAAGAAUAAGCACCGGCUAACUACGUG